GACGAACGCUGGCGGCGUGCUUAACACAUGCAAGUCGAACGGUGAAAGCGGAGCUUGCUCCGCUGGAUCAGUGGCGAACGGGUGAGUAACACGUGGGCAACCUGCCCCUCACUUCGGGAUAACUCCGGGAAACCGGGGCUAAUACCGGAUAUGACCUCCUUGGGCAUCCUUGGAGGUGGAAAGUUUUUCGGUGAGGGAUGGGCCCGCGGCCUAUCAGCUUGUUGGUGAGGUAGUGGCUCACCAAGGCGACGACGGGUAGCCGGCCUGAGAGGGCGACCGGCCAGACGGGGACUGAGAAACGGCCCAGACUCCUACGAGAGGCAGCAGUGGGGAAUAUUGCGCAAUGGGCGAAAGCCUGACGCAGCAACGCCGCGUGCGGGAUGACGGCCUUCGGGUUGUAAACCGCUUUCAGCAGGGAAGAAGCCGCAAGGUGACGGUACCUGCAGAAGAAGCACCGGCUAACUACGUGCCAGCCGCCGCGGUAA
RNAcentral lists this ribosomal RNA (485 nucleotides) under uncultured bacterium. Its description in RNAcentral is "partial 16S ribosomal RNA". It matches the Rfam family "Bacterial small subunit ribosomal RNA", at positions 28 to 523 of the family's 1533-position model. The record is from RNAcentral.